AUUGAACGCUGGCGGCAGGCCUAACACAUGCAAGUCGAGCGGAUGAAGGGAGCUUGCUCCUGGAUUCAGCGGCGGACGGGUGAGUAAUGCCUAGGAAUCUGCCUGGUAGGGGGGGAUAACGUCCGGAAACGGGCGCUAAUACCGCAUACGUCCUGAGGGAGAAAGUGGGGGAUCUUCGGACCUCACGCUAUCAGAUGAGCCUAGGUCGGAUUAGCUAGUUGGUGGGGUAAAGGCCUACCAAGGCGACGAUCCGUAACUGGUCUGAGAGGAUGAUCGGUCACACUGGAACUGAGACACGGUCCAGACUACUACGGGAGGCAGCAGUGGGGAAUAUUGGACAAUGGGCGAAAGCCUGAUCCAGCCAUGCCGCGUGUGUGAAGAAGGUCUUCGGAUUGUAAAGCACUUUAAGUUGGGAGGAAGGGCAGUAAGUUAAUACCUUGCUGUUUUGACGUUAACAACAGAAUAAGCACCGGCUAACUUCGUG
RNAcentral lists this ribosomal RNA (484 nucleotides) under uncultured bacterium. Its description in RNAcentral is "partial 16S ribosomal RNA". It matches the Rfam family "Bacterial small subunit ribosomal RNA", at positions 30 to 507 of the family's 1533-position model. The record is from RNAcentral.